CACUGAGCAGUGACACACACACAGGCUCACGUUUGCUGGAGACCUUUGAAAUGGAUCACGACGGAAACAUGGCAUUAUCACUUGCGGUCGCUGAACCAAACACCUGUGGCAGAGCCAGAUGAAGAUGCUGAGUUUGCACUGGGAAAGAGGCCAAAUUCACUCAUGAAUCACGUCCCUGCAAACCAAAAUCCAGCAGAAGUAAAAUGCUGUCCUAAAGCAG
Molecule: long non-coding RNA, 220 nt
Filed under: Gallus gallus (chicken)
Lineage: Eukaryota; Metazoa; Chordata; Aves; Galliformes; Phasianidae
Source: RNAcentral